RNAcentral lists this small RNA (74 nucleotides) under Sphingomonas rubra. RNAcentral's name for it is "suhB". Lineage: Bacteria; Pseudomonadati; Pseudomonadota; Alphaproteobacteria; Sphingomonadales; Sphingomonadaceae. The record is from RNAcentral.
UGGCGAUGCCUUUCAGGCAUCCUCUCUUACAAACUUCGGGCCGGCCCUACGCGCCGGCCCUUUUUGUGCGGGUC